This 1308-nucleotide ribosomal RNA is filed under the name metagenome. RNAcentral describes it as "SSU rRNA". It matches the Rfam family "Eukaryotic small subunit ribosomal RNA", at positions 448 to 1759 of the family's 1831-position model. The record is from RNAcentral.
AUGCUCAUCGAGCGAGGAAGUGACGAUCAAUAAUAAUGUGCGGGGUUUUCCCUGUGCAAUUACAAUGAGUAAAAUGUACAAGCGUUUUCCAUGAUCAAUUGGAGGGCAAGUCUGGUGCCAGCAGCCGCGGUAAUUCCAGCUCCAAUAGGAUAUAUCAAAGUUGUUGCAGUUGAAAAGCUCGUAGUCGUAUUUCUGGUGGGUUGAUGUUUCGUUCCUGUGCUUGGCGCAAGCUGGGCGAGGGCGGGGCCGCCUGCCAUUUUGUGGGCCAACGUGGCCAUCCUGUGGUUUACUCUGCGGGUUGGUCGCGCCACUCCGUCACUGAGAGCAAAUUGGAGUGCUCAAAGCAGGCUUUACAGCUUUGAACAUUUUAGCUUGGAAUGACAAAGGAUGACUUUUUGUUCACUUUGUUGGUUAUGAAUAGGAAGUAAUGAUAAAUAGGAACAGUUGCGGGGGUACUCGUACUGGAAAGUCAGAGGUGAAAUUCUUGGAUUUUUCCACGACGAACAACUGCGAAAGCAUUUAUCAAGGAUGUUUUCAUUGAUCAAGAACGAAAGUGCGAGGAUCGAAGAUGAUUAGAUACCAUCGUAGUUCGCACAGUAAACGAUGCCGACUCGGGAUAGAGUACUCUUCGCUAUGAUAGAAAGUUCUCUGCACCGUAUGUGAAAACAAAGUCUUUGGGUUCCGGGGGGAGUAUGGUCGCAAGGUUGAAACCUAAAGGAAUUGACGGAAGGGCACACCAGAGGUGGAGCCUGCGGUUUAAUUUGACCCAACACGGGGAAACUCACCAGGUCCAGACAUGAGAAGGAUUGACAGUUUGAAAGCACUUUCUUGAUUUCAUGGGUGGUGGUGCAUGGCCGUUCUUAGUUGGUGGAGUGAUUUGUCUGGUUGAUUCCGAUAACGAACGAGACUCUCAGAGUAAACUGGCUUGGUCGUAACUCACGUUACUUCCGGUCUCUUUUCUCGACAAUUCGUUUUAAACGAAAGGAAGCGGAGAGCAAUAACAGGUCUGUGAUGCCCCUCGAUGUUCUGGGCUACACGCGCGCUACAAUGACGAGUUCAACGAGUUGCUUCUCCUUGCCCGGAAGGGUAUGGGUAAUCUUUUCAAUGCUCGUCGUGAUGGGGCUAGAUUAUUGCAAUUAUUAAUCUUCAACGAGGAAUCUCUAGUAUGUGCAGUUCAUCAGACUGCGCAGAAUGCGUCCCUGCCCUUUGUACACACCGCCCGUCGCACCUACCGAUUAGACGAUCCGGCAAGAUGUUUGGAGUCGUGUUUGUUGGGCUUUCGGGCUUGACAGAUGUGGCAAAGCUCCU